This 407-nucleotide ribosomal RNA is filed under the name uncultured microorganism. RNAcentral describes it as "bacterial SSU rRNA". It matches the Rfam family "Archaeal small subunit ribosomal RNA", at positions 330 to 745 of the family's 1478-position model. The record is from RNAcentral.
GUGCACCAGUCGAGAAACUUUACAAUGUGCGAAAGCACGAUAAGGGAACUCUGAGUGCCUCCUAAGGAGGCUGUUCAGGUGUCUAAAAGCACCUGAAGGAAGGGCUGGGUAAGACCGGUGCCAGCCGCCGCGGUAACACCGGCAGCCCAAGUGGUAGCCACGUUUAUUGGGUCUAAAGCGUCCGUAGCCGGCUGGUAAGUUCCUUGGGAAAUUUGGCUGCUUAACAGUCAAGCUUUCAGGGAAUACUGCCCGGCUUGGGACCGGGAGAGGUCAGAGGUACUCCAGGGGUAGGGGUGAAAUCCAUUAAUCCUUGGGGGACCACCGGUAGCGAAGGCGUCUGACCAGACCGGGUCCGACGGUGAGGGACGAAGGCUAGGGGCGCGAACCGGAUUAGAUACCCCUGUAGU